AGACUCCUCAGAGCGAGGGAUGGCCCCGCUGAGCUGAGUGAGCUGGGGCUGGCCAGGGAAAGCAGGAGGGAGGAGGGGCAUUUGAGGCAGAAGGGUUGAUAAGGAGGCAGACCCCCAGGCAGAAGGAGGCGCUGAGAGCUCUAUAUUUCUGUAACUUUACCCCUUUGGAGCCUGAAAACAGCACUGAGAAGUAGGGCAGGCAGAUAUUCUGCUCCCAUUUUUCAGAAAGGGCACUAAGGCCCAGAGAGGAACAGAGACUUAGCUGGUCAGUGACCAAGCCUCCUGGGUGAUGCUCUGCCCCCACCGAUCCAGGGGGCUGGAGGGGACAGGCCUGAAGAGAGGCCUUUGUCCCUUUGCCUGCUGGGGCGGGAGCAGCGGGAGUGGAGGCCGCAGCUGGCCACCAGCAGCUGUGGCGGCCAGAGCUGCAUUCCUUCCCCUGCCAGCAGAGCAAGUCCAGGCUCAUGGCAGGGGCCUGGAACGUUCUUUUUGUCUUAAAAAAAAAAAAGGCGCUUUAGUCAACAUUAAGUCGUGACUUCAAACAGACACAGCUCCCAACUCUCCUCCCUAGCCUUGGGUCUCUCCAACUCCCCAGGGUAAGCCCCCAGUCAGCCAAGUUUCUGGGAAAGGCUACAAGGCCUGGAUUUUGAGUCCAAAGACUUUGUGGUGAUGAGUCCUGGCUCGGCCUCCAACUUGCUGUGUGACCUCAGGCAGGUCACCAGCCUUCUCUGGGCCAGAGCGUCCUCUGCAAAACAGGGAAGGGAGAGUUGGACGACAUCAGGUGGGGUGGGGAGCCCAGCAACUGGCUCUAGCCAGCUGCAACAGCUUUGCUGCCCUUCAAGUUUGAGGCACUGGGGCCUCAGGGGUCCGGAAGCUGGGGACAGGCAGCCUUUCAUCUCUGCUGGCCCAGGGUCGCUGCAGGUUGGCAGGCCCCACAUCCCGAGAUCGCAUUUCAGGCUGGAAGGGGCCUUCCUGUGACCUCAGCCGGCCAGCUCUGCCCCUGUCCCCUCCUUCCCAUUCUCACCAGGGGGAAGCAGGCAGCAUCCCACCCAAGGUCACCGGUCAGCAAGUGACUGUCCUUCGGCCUGCCCUUCCCUCCCACCAGAGCCAGCCCUGUGGCCGAGUGGUUAAGUUCGCGAGCUCUGCUUCGGCGGCCCAGAAUUUCGCCGCUUUGGAUCCUGGGCGUGGACAUGGCACCGCUCACCAGGCCAUGCUGAGGCGGCGUUCCACAUGCCACAACUAGAAGGACCCACAACUAAAAUAUGCAACUAUGGACGGGGGGGGCUUUGGGGAGAAAAAGGAAAAAAAUAAAAUCUGAAAAAAAAAAAAUCUUCCAUUAAAAAUAAAAAAAAAAGACCCCACUCAAAUGACCCUUCCUUGUAAACGUUCUCCAACCCCCCAGUUAAGUUCUAUGCUUCUGUGAGCUCACAGCUCCUGCAACAAUUAGUGUCUCCCUCUUUGACUGUAACUUUUAUUGUCUUCUCCUUCACCAGAUUGGGA
Molecule: long non-coding RNA, 1497 nt
Filed under: Equus caballus (horse)
Lineage: Eukaryota; Metazoa; Chordata; Mammalia; Perissodactyla; Equidae
Description: lncRNA (ENSECAG00000059422.1)
Source: RNAcentral